This 253-nucleotide ribosomal RNA is filed under the name uncultured bacterium. Its description in RNAcentral is "partial 16S ribosomal RNA". It matches the Rfam family "Bacterial small subunit ribosomal RNA", at positions 524 to 776 of the family's 1533-position model. The record is from RNAcentral.
UACGUAGGGUGCAAGCGUUGUCCGGAAUUACUGGGCGUAAAGCGCACGUAGGCGGCUUUGUAAGUUAGAGGUGAAAGCCCGGGGCUCAACUCCGGAAUUGCCUUUAAGACUGCAUCGCUAGAAUUGUGGAGAGGUAAGUGGAAUUCCGAGUGUAGAGGUGAAAUUCGUAGAUAUUCGGAAGAACACCAGUGGCGAAGGCGACUUACUGGACACAUAUUGACGCUGAGGUGCGAAAGCGUGGGGAGCAAACAGG